Molecule: transfer RNA, 90 nt
Filed under: Actinotignum urinale
Lineage: Bacteria; Bacillati; Actinomycetota; Actinomycetes; Actinomycetales; Actinomycetaceae
Description: tRNA-Ser
Rfam family: tRNA
About the family: Transfer RNA (tRNA) molecules are approximately 80 nucleotides in length. Their secondary structure includes four short double-helical elements and three loops (D, anti-codon, and T loops).
Source: RNAcentral
GGAGACGUGACUGAGUGGCCGAAAGUGGCACCCUGCUAAGGUGUUAGUCGCAAUCGCGGCUCGAGGGUUCGAAUCCCUCCGUCUCCGCCA